GAUGAACGCUGGCGGCGUGCCUAAUACAUGCAAGUCGAGCGAACGGACGAGAAGCUUGCUUCUCUGAUGUUAGCGGCGGACGGGUGAGUAACACGUGGAUAACCUACCUAUAAGACUGGGAUAACUUCGGGAAACCGGACCUAAUACCGGAUAAUAUUUUGAACCGCAUGGUUCAAAAGUGAAAGACGGUCUUGCUGUCACUUAUAGAUGGAUCCGCUCUGCCUUAGCUAGUUGGUAAGGUAACGGCUUACCAAGGCAACGAUGCAUAGCCGACCUGAGAGGGUGAUCGGCCACACUGGAACUGAGACACGGUCCAGACUCCUACGGGAGGCAGCAGUAGGGAAUCUUCCGCGAUGGGCGAAAGCCUGACGGAGCAACGCCGCGUGAGUGAUGAAGGUCUUCGGAUCGUAAAACUCUGUUAUUAGGGAAGAACAUAUGUGUAAGUAACUGUGCACAUCUUGACGGUACCUAAUCAGAAAGCCACGGCUAACUACGUG
Molecule: ribosomal RNA, 497 nt
Filed under: uncultured bacterium
Lineage: Bacteria
Description: partial 16S ribosomal RNA
Rfam family: Bacterial small subunit ribosomal RNA
Source: RNAcentral